GCCGGCGUGGCGCAAUGGUAGCGCGUAGCUUUCCUAUUCGUCGUUUCGGAAUAGUUAGAAAGGCUGAAGUUGCGGGUUCGAUCCCCGUCGUCGGUU
This is a non-coding RNA of Rhodocollybia butyracea, 96 nucleotides long. The record is from the annotation of a GenBank genome assembly. Lineage: Eukaryota; Fungi; Basidiomycota; Agaricomycetes; Agaricales; Omphalotaceae.